Molecule: long non-coding RNA, 205 nt
Filed under: Elaeis guineensis (African oil palm)
Lineage: Eukaryota; Viridiplantae; Streptophyta; Magnoliopsida; Arecales; Arecaceae
Description: long non-coding RNA (EGUI_LNC014228)
Source: RNAcentral
AGAGGGAAAGAGGAGAUAGCUUCGGGAUCGGGGGAGAGGGAGAAGUGGUGAGCGGCUCCGUCAAGGCUCGGGUUGCUCGAAUCUGGUGAACUCAUUGUUGAUUAGGGGGAGGUUCGAGCAGAAAGAGCUCAGAUUCAAUGAGCCUAGCAUUGAUAGGGGAGGGCCCAUGUCCUCAGGCCCUUGGUGUCGAUAGGGAAGCAGUCAG